This 430-nucleotide ribosomal RNA is filed under the name uncultured archaeon. Its description in RNAcentral is "bacterial SSU rRNA". It matches the Rfam family "Archaeal small subunit ribosomal RNA", at positions 396 to 824 of the family's 1478-position model. The record is from RNAcentral.
UACAAAUCUGGCUGUCGAGAUGCCUAAAAAGCAUUUCAUAGCAAGGGCCGGGCAAGACCGGUGCCAGCCGCCGCGGUAACACCGGCGGCUCGAGUGGUAACCGUUAUUAUUGGGUCUAAAGGGUCUGUAGCCGGCCGGAUAAGUCUCUUGAGAAAUCUGGCAGCUUAACUGUCAGGCUUUCAGGAGAUACUGUCUGGCUCGAGGCCGGGAGAGGUGAGAGGUACUUCAGGGGUAGGGGUGAAAUCUUGUAAUCCUUGAAGGACCACCAGUGGCGAAGGCGUCUCACCAGAACGGACCUGACGGCAAGGGACGAAAGCUAGGGGCACGAACCGGAUUAGAUACCCGGGUAGUCCUAGCCGUAAACGAUACUCGCUAGGUGUCGGCCACGGUGCGACCGUUGUCGGUGCCGUAGGGAAGCCGUGAAGCGAGC